UACGGGGGGGGCAAGCGUUGUUCGGAAUUACUGGGCGUAAAGGGCUCGUAGGUGGCCAACUAAGUCGGACGUGAAAUCCCUCGGCUUAACCGGGGAACUGCGUCCGAUACUGGUUGGCUUGAGUUUGGGAGAGGGAUGCGGAAUUCCAGGUGUAGCGGUGAAAUGCGUAGAUAUCUGGAGGAACACCGGUGGCGAAGGCGGCAUCCUGGACCGACACUGACACUGAGGAGCGAAAGCCAGGGGAGCAAACGGG
RNAcentral lists this ribosomal RNA (253 nucleotides) under uncultured bacterium. RNAcentral describes it as "partial 16S ribosomal RNA". It matches the Rfam family "Bacterial small subunit ribosomal RNA", at positions 524 to 776 of the family's 1533-position model. The record is from RNAcentral.